AUGCAGUCGAGCGAACGGAUAAGGAGCUUGCUCCUUUGAAGUUAGCGGCGGACGGGUGAGUAACACGUGGGUAACCUACCUAUAAGACUGGAAUAACUUCGGGAAACCGGAGCUAAUGCCGGAUAACAUUUGGAACCGCAUGGUUCUAAAGUAAAAGAUGGUUUUGCUAUCACUUAUAGAUGGACCCGCGCCGUAUUAGCUAGUUGGUAAGGUAACGGCUUACCAAGGCAACGAUACGUAGCCGACCUGAGAGGGUGAUCGGCCACACUGGAACUGAGACACGGUCCAGACUCCUACGGGAGGCAGCAGUAGGGAAUCUUCCGCAAUGGACGAAAGUCUGACGGAGCAACGCCGCGUGAGUGAUGAAGGUUUUCGGAUCGUAAAACUCUGUUAUUAGGGAAGAACAAAUGUGUAAGUAACUGUGCACAUCUUGACGGUACCUAAUCAGAAAGCCACGGCUAACUACGUGCCAGCAGCCGCGGUAAUACGUAGGUGGCAAGCGUUAUCCGGAAUUAUUGGGCGUAAAGCGCGCGUAGGCGGUUUCUUAAGUCUGAUGUGAAAGCCCACGGCUCAACCGUGGAGGGUCAUUGGAAACUGGGAAACUUGAGUACAGAAGAGGAAAGUGGAAUUCCAUGUGUAGCGGUGAAAUGCGCAGAGAUAUGGAGGAACACCAGUGGCGAAGGCGACUUUCUGGUCUGUAACUGACGCUGAUGUGCGAAAGCGUGGGGGAUCAAACAGGAUUAGAUACCCUGGUAGUCCACGCCGUAAACGAUGAGUGCUAAGUGUUAGGGGGUUUCCGCCCCUUAGUGCUGCAGCUAACGCAUUAAGCACUCCGCCUGGGGAGUACGACCGCAAGGUUGAAACUCA
This 867-nucleotide ribosomal RNA is filed under the name Staphylococcus equorum. Its description in RNAcentral is "bacterial SSU rRNA". It matches the Rfam family "Bacterial small subunit ribosomal RNA", at positions 55 to 903 of the family's 1533-position model. Lineage: Bacteria; Bacillati; Bacillota; Bacilli; Caryophanales; Staphylococcaceae. The record is from RNAcentral.